Long non-coding RNA from Corapipo altera (White-ruffed manakin), 115 nucleotides. RefSeq lists it as uncharacterized. NCBI's taxonomy places the organism in Eukaryota, Metazoa, Chordata, Aves, Passeriformes, Pipridae. The record is from RefSeq and is a predicted model, not a curated record. The transcript has 3 exons.
GUUGGUCCUGUUCGAACAGGCCCCAGGGCUACCACACAGGCUAUCUCCUGUUUGAUCUGCUCAAACGCCUGUUGUUGCUCAAGGCCCCACUCAAAAUGGGGCACCAUCAUCAUCA